Long non-coding RNA from Apis florea (little honeybee), 892 nucleotides. NCBI's taxonomy places the organism in Eukaryota, Metazoa, Arthropoda, Insecta, Hymenoptera, Apidae. The record is from RefSeq and is a predicted model, not a curated record.
UACUCACUUGGCUCGGCUACAGCAACUCGGCCUUCAAUCCGAUCAUCUACAGCAUCUUUAACACAGAAUUCCGAGAAGCGUUCAAGAGAAUUCUCACAAAGGGUGCACGCGCCCGUGGAAAUCAACCGUCGACUAGCGAAUGCGGAGAAUUUCGAUCCGUGGUCGUACAAAAACGAAACGGGUCCAUGAUCGAAUGUAAUAUCAGUCCAAGAUCAAGCGCGGACAGUUGUCAAGUUGGUAUGAUGGCGCAAAGGCAUCGCGAUACUAUCGUGAGUGCGAUAUAAUUCGAUUCGAGCCUCUCCCUCGGACUUAUCGAUCUUCCUAUCGAACGGUAAUUGCGAUCCUACGGUAAUUAUGGUUCACGUGGUUUUCCAUCACGGUAUAUAUAUCGAUUCUAUAUAUAUAAAUCACUUUAUUAUAUAAGACGUAAAUAAAAUCGUGAUGGAAAUAUUAUCUCCUUCCUGUCGCCAGUUUUCUGCGUGGCAUACAACAUUCUUGGUACGAGUUUAUUCGAUUGAAUCGAAGAAUGUUACACGAACAUAUCCAUAGUAUAAUUUUUCAAGUCUGCUUAUGAUAAUGGUUAUGAUUGAACGAGAUUUACGUACAAACAUUUAAAAAAACGGCAAUUGCGACCGUCAUGAUCAAUUUCAACGACAAACUUUACCAUUUCAUCAUCUUGGGAAGAAUAUUUUUUUUAUCCACGGACGAUGAAAAGGGAAGAAAACUUGUCGAUAAUAAUAAAUAAAGGACGGUUAAGAGAUCAAUUUAUGAAAAGACAAUCAUCGGGAAGUAGUUCGAAACAUAUCCAUGAGACAUAAUCUGUUCUUAUAACAAAAAAGAAUAAAGAUGAAUUUAUCUAACAGGAUCGAACAGGAAGAUAUAAAUUUAAAAA